RNAcentral lists this ribosomal RNA (2215 nucleotides) under Rhizobium sp. JGI 0001012-J08. RNAcentral's name for it is "bacterial LSU rRNA". It matches the Rfam family "Bacterial large subunit ribosomal RNA", at positions 482 to 2811 of the family's 2925-position model. The record is from RNAcentral. Lineage: Bacteria; Pseudomonadati; Pseudomonadota; Alphaproteobacteria; Hyphomicrobiales; Rhizobiaceae.
GACCGAUAGCGAACAAGUACCGUGAGGGAAAGGUGAAAAGCACCCCGACAAGGGGAGUGAAAUAGAACCUGAAACCGGAUGCCUACAAACAGUCGGAGCCCGCAAGGGUGACGGCGUACCUUUUGUAUAAUGGGUCAACGACUUAGUGUAACAAGCAAGCUUAAGCCGGUAGGUGUAGGCGAAGCGAAAGCGAGUCUGAAUAGGGCGAUUUAGUUUGUUGCAUUAGACCCGAAACCGAGUGAUCUAGCCAUGAGCAGGUUGAAGGUUGGGUAACACCAACUGGAGGACCGAACCCGCAUCUGUUGCAAUAGAUUGGGAUGACUUGUGGCUAGGGGUGAAAGGCCAAUCAAACUCGGAAAUAGCUGGUUCUCCGCGAAAUCUAUUUAGGUAGAGCGUCGAGCGAAUACCCCGGGGGGUAGAGCACUGGAUGGGCUAUGGGGACUCACCGUCUUACUGAUCCUAACCAAACUCCGAAUACCCGGGAGUACUACUCGGCAGACACACGGCGGGUGCUAACGUCCGUCGUGAAAAGGGCAACAACCCUAACCUCCAGCUAAGGUCCCCAAGUCAUGGCUAAGUGGGAAAGGAUGUGAGGAUCCCAAAACAACCAGGAUGUUGGCUUAGAAGCAGCCAUCAUUUAAAGAAAGCGUAACAGCUCACUGGUCUAAAUAAGGGUCUUUGCGCCGAAAAUGUAACGGGGCUGAAGCCAUGCACCGAAGCUGAGGAUUUGCAGCAAUGCAAGUGGUAGCGGAGCGUUCCGUAAGCCUGUGAAGGGACAGUCGUGAGACAUCCUGGAGGUAUCGGAAGUGCGAAUGUUGACAUGAGUAACGAUAAAGAGGGUGAGAGACCCUCUCGCCGAAAGACCAAGGGUUCCUGCUUAAAGUUAAUCUGAGCAGGGUUAGCCGGCCCCUAAGACGAGGCGGACACGCGUAGUCGAUGGGAACCACGUUAAUAUUCGUGGGCCUGGUGGUAGUGACGGAUUGCGUAACUUGUUCAUUCUUAUUGGAUUGAGUGGGCAGGGAAGCGGUUCCAGGAAAUAGCUCCACCGUAUAGACCGUACCCGAAACCGACACAGGUGGUCAGGUAGAGUAUACCAAGGCGCUUGAGAGAACUAUGUUGAAGGAACUCGGCAAAUUGCACGCGUAACUUCGGAAGAAGCGUGACCCCAUUUUACGCAAGUGAGAUGGGGUGGCACAGACCAGGGGGUAGCGACUGUUUAUCAAAAACACAGGGCUCUGCGAAGUCGCAAGACGACGUAUAGGGUCUGACGCCUGCCCGGUGCUGGAAGAUUAAAUGAUGGGGUGCAAGCUCUUGAUUGAAGUCCCAGUAAACGGCGGCCGUAACUAUAACGGUCCUAAGGUAGCGAAAUUCCUUGUCGGGUAAGUUCCGACCUGCACGAAUGGCGUAACGACUUCCCCGCUGUCUCCAACAUAGACUCAGUGAAAUUGAAUUCCCCGUGAAGAUGCGGGGUUCCUGCGGUCAGACGGAAAGACCCCGUGCACCUUUACUAUAGCUUUACACUGGCAUUCGUGUCGGCAUGUGUAGGAUAGGUGGUAGGCUUUGAAGCGGGGACGCCAGUUUCCGUGGAGCCAUCCUUGAAAUACCACCCUUAUCGUCAUGGAUGUCUAACCGCGGUCCGUUAUCCGGAUCCGGGACAGUGUAUGGUGGGUAGUUUGACUGGGGCGGUCGCCUCCGAAAGAGUAACGGAGGCGCGCGAUGGUGGGCUCAGACCGGUCGGAAAUCGGUCGUCGAGUGCAAUGGCAUAAGCCCGCCUGACUGCGAGACUGACAAGUCGAGCAGAGACGAAAGUCGGUCAUAGUGAUCCGGUGGUCCCGCGUGGAAGGGCCAUCGCUCAACGGAUAAAAGGUACUCUGGGGAUAACAGGCUGAUACCGCCCAAGAGUUCAUAUCGACGGCGGUGUUUGGCACCUCGAUGUCGGCUCAUCGCAUCCUGGGGCUGGAGCAGGUCCCAAGGGUUUGGCUGUUCGCCAAUUAAAGCGGUACGUGAGCUGGGUUCAGAACGUCGUGAGACAGUUCGGUCCCUAUCUGCCGUGGGUGUAGGAAUAUUGACAGGAUCUGUCCCUAGUACGAGAGGACCGGGAUGGACAUAUCUCUGGUGGACCUGUUGUCCUGCCAAGGGCAUAGCAGGGUAGCUAUAUAUGGACGGGAUAACCGCUGAAGGCAUCUAAGCGGGAAACCCACCUGAAAACGAGUGU